Molecule: small nuclear RNA, 185 nt
Organism: Artibeus jamaicensis (Jamaican fruit-eating bat)
Lineage: Eukaryota; Metazoa; Chordata; Mammalia; Chiroptera; Phyllostomidae
Product: U2 spliceosomal RNA
Exons: 1
Source: RefSeq, a predicted model, not a curated record
AUCGCUUCUCGGCCUUUUGGCUAAGAUCAAGUGUAGUAUCUGUUCUUAUCAGUUUAAUAACAGUAUACACUAGAUGCUACUUUGAUUAGCAAUUCAUCAAAUAUUUACUGCUUGCCAAAGCACUUCGUCAUUCUAAGAAACUAAGCUAGAAAGAUUACUUUGAGCAUCCUUUGUUUAGUAUACUC